This 480-nucleotide ribosomal RNA is filed under the name Thelonectria lucida. RNAcentral's name for it is "eukaryotic LSU rRNA". The stretch from base 132 to 285 matches the Rfam family "5.8S ribosomal RNA". The record is from RNAcentral. Lineage: Eukaryota; Fungi; Ascomycota; Sordariomycetes; Hypocreales; Nectriaceae.
GUUUACAACUCCCAAACCCCUGUGAACAUACCUAUCGUUGCCUCGGCGGUGCCCGCUCCGGCGGCCCGCCAGAGGACCCCAAACUCUUGUUUUAUACAGUAUCUUCUGAGUAACACGAUUAAAUAAAUCAAAACUUUCAACAACGGAUCUCUUGGUUCUGGCAUCGAUGAAGAACGCAGCGAAAUGCGAUAAGUAAUGUGAAUUGCAGAAUUCAGUGAAUCAUCGAAUCUUUGAACGCACAUUGCGCCCGCCAGUAUUCUGGCGGGCAUGCCUGUUCGAGCGUCAUUUCAACCCUCAAGCCCCCGGGCUUGGUGUUGGGGAUCGGCGUGCCCUCGCGGCGCGCCGUCCCCGAAAUCUAGUGGCGGUCUCGCUGUAGCUUCCUCUGCGUAGUAGCACACCUCGCACUGGAAAGCAGCGCGGCCACGCCGUUAAACCCCCCACUUCUGUAAAGGUUGACCUCGGAUCAGGUCAGGAAACCCG